GACGAACGCUGGCGGCGUGCCUAAUACAUGCAAGUAGAACGCUGAAGAGAGGAGCUUGCUCUUCUUGGAUGAGUUGCGAACGGGUGAGUAACGCGUAGGUAACCUGCCUUGUAGCGGGGGAUAACUAUUGGAAACGAUAGCUAAUACCGCAUAACAAUGGAUGUCACAUGUCAUUUAUUUGAAAGGGGCAAUUGCUCCACUACAAGAUGGACCUGCGUUGUAUUAGCUAGUAGGUGAGGUAAUGGCUCACCUAGGCGACGAUACAUAGCCGACCUGAGAGGGUGAUCGGCCACACUGGGACUGAGACACGGCCCAGACUCCUACGGGAGGCAGCAGUAGGGAAUCUUCGGCAAUGGGGGCAACCCUGACCGAGCAACGCCGCGUGAGUGAAGAAGGUUUUCGGAUCGUAAAGCUCUGUUGUAAGUCAAGAACGGGUGUGAGAGUGGAAAGUUCACACUGUGACGGUAGCUUACCAGAAAGGGACGGCUAACUACGUG
This 497-nucleotide ribosomal RNA is filed under the name uncultured bacterium. RNAcentral's name for it is "partial 16S ribosomal RNA". It matches the Rfam family "Bacterial small subunit ribosomal RNA", at positions 28 to 507 of the family's 1533-position model. The record is from RNAcentral.